CCUACGGGUGGCAGCAGUGAGGAAUAUUGGUCAAUGUCCGGAAGGCUGAACCAGCCAUGCCGCGUGAAGGUCAGUGCCCUAUGGGCGUUAAACUUCUUUUGUGCGGGAGCAAUAAUGGUCACGUGUGGCCAGACGAGAGUACCGUACGAAUAAGCAUCGGCUAACUCCGUGCCAGCAGCCGCGGUAAUACGGGGGAUGCAAGCGUUAUCCGGAUUUAUUGGGUUUAAAGGGUGCGUAGGCUGGGAGGUAAGUCAGCGGUGAAAUGCCCCCGCUCAACGGGGUGAAGUGCCAUUGAUACUGCCUGGCUGGAAUGCGGAUGCCGUGGGAGGAAUGUGUGGUGUAGCGGUGAAAUGCAUAGAUAUCACACAGAACACCGAUUGCGAAGGCAUCUCACGAAGCCGCGAUUGACGCUGAUGCACGAAAGCGUGGGUAUCAAACAGGAUUAGAUACCCCAGUAGUC
RNAcentral lists this ribosomal RNA (460 nucleotides) under uncultured bacterium. RNAcentral's name for it is "partial 16S ribosomal RNA". It matches the Rfam family "Bacterial small subunit ribosomal RNA", at positions 338 to 795 of the family's 1533-position model. The record is from RNAcentral.